UUAUUUUUAGUAGGAUAUGAAGGCAUAGUAAUUGAUGUACCUGUAAAAGUAAACACACUAAUGUAAGACAUGUAGAUGUUUCUUGAGUCCAGUGGUAGACUUGCCUGAGAUAGCAGAUUGUCUGCCACUGUUGUCUACACACAUACUGUCGACUAAAAAAGUUUACGGACCACGGGAUCUCAGAAAACGCUAAAUAUCCGAGCAGCCUUUAAAAGUAGCCAGUAAAACCGUACAUCACAAUGUUCGCAUAUACUAGUAGAGGCUGGAAAUGGGAAUACCAGGCUUCGUUUUGAGGCUGCGGAGAUAUUCAGCUUUUUGUGAGAUCCCUUCAUUCGUUAACUUUUUGGGUCGAUAGUACAUUUGUAUGUGUGUGGUAGGGAAGGUAUGAAUUAGAGAGUUUCUCCAAAAAAGCAGGGCUUUGCUAUAGAUGUGCCAGGCUGUAGAUGUGCAGGCAAA
This 456-nucleotide long non-coding RNA is filed under the name Dermacentor andersoni. RNAcentral describes it as "uncharacterized LOC126534812". Lineage: Eukaryota; Metazoa; Arthropoda; Arachnida; Ixodida; Ixodidae. The record is from RNAcentral.